This 21-nucleotide non-coding RNA is filed under the name Arabidopsis thaliana (thale cress). The record is from RNAcentral. Lineage: Eukaryota; Viridiplantae; Streptophyta; Magnoliopsida; Brassicales; Brassicaceae.
UCCGUUCAGUUCACCGUCGCC